RNAcentral lists this ribosomal RNA (371 nucleotides) under uncultured organism. RNAcentral's name for it is "partial 16S ribosomal RNA". It matches the Rfam family "Bacterial small subunit ribosomal RNA", at positions 527 to 896 of the family's 1533-position model. The record is from RNAcentral.
GAAGGUGGCGAGCGUUGUUCGGAAUCACUGGGCUUAAAGCGCGCGUAGGCGGAAUGGAUAGUGUCUUGUGAAAGCCCCCGGCUUAACCGGGGAAUUGCUUGACAUACUUCCAUUCUUGAGGUAAGUAGGGGUACAUGGAACUCUUGGUGGAGCGGUGGAAUGCGUAGAUAUCAAGAGGAACGCCAAAGGUGAAGACAGUGUACCGGGCUUAUUCUGACGCUGAGGUGCGAAAGCGUGGGGAGCGAAAGGGAUUAGAUACCCCUGUAGUCCACGCCGUAAACGAUGUCUACUAGGUUGUGGAGGUUCUGACACCCUCACAGUCGAAGCAAAAGUGUUAAGUAGACCGCCUGGGAAGUACGGUCGCAAGGCUA